RNAcentral lists this transfer RNA (35 nucleotides) under Synura borealis. RNAcentral's name for it is "partial tRNA-Trp". Lineage: Eukaryota; Synurophyceae; Synurales; Mallomonadaceae. The record is from RNAcentral.
ACCAAUUAUUGUAGGUUCAAAUCCUACUUUUUCUG